GACGAACGCUGGCGGCGUGCUUAACACAUGCAAGUCGAACGAUGAACCCGGAGCUUGCUCCGGUGGAUUAGUGGCGAACGGGUGAGUAACACGUGAGUAACCUGCCCUUGACUCUGGGAUAGCUGCGGGAAACUGUAGCUAAUACCGGAUACGACCCUCGGCGGCAUCGCCAGGGGGUGGAAAGAAUUUCGGUCAAGGAUGGACUCGCGGCCUAUCAGCUAGUUGGUGAGGUAACGGCUCAACAAGGCGAAGACGGGUAGCCGGCCUGAGAGGGUGACCGGCCACAAUGGGGCUGAGACACGACCCAGACUCUCACGGGAGGCAGCAGUGGGGAAUAUUGCACAAUGGGCGCAAGCCUGAUGCAGCAACGCCGCGUGAGGGAUGACGGCCGUCGGGUUGUAAACCUCUUUUGGUAGGGAAGAAGCGAAAGUGACGGUACCUGCAGAAAAAGCACCGGCUAACUACGUGCCAGCCGCCGCAGUAA
Molecule: ribosomal RNA, 484 nt
Filed under: uncultured bacterium
Lineage: Bacteria
Description: partial 16S ribosomal RNA
Rfam family: Bacterial small subunit ribosomal RNA
Source: RNAcentral